UCUGUUUCGAAGGAGUGAGAUUAGAUCUGGAGUUUAAAUAUUAUCAUUUAUUUAAAAAAGAGAGGGAGAAAAUAGCUUCAUGACUGAUCACAGUUGAGCUGUAGAACUCAGUAGUUGCAGUAUGAAUGCAGAAUGCUGAUAAAAGAAAAAAGCGUAUUCUCUGCUCGCGCGCAGCACAGUCCGGCCCGGUGCGUGGGGUGGGGUGGGAGUGGGCUCGUUCCACUUUAUGAAUGGAUGGGUGUGGCGCCACAGACUAUAACGAGGCUGUCGUCACGGCGCGUGAUGACAGACCGCAGCGUGCUGUCGGUGAAGGAUGGUCCUGAGUGAAACAUCUCCGCAGCUCCGCCAGCAUCUCCAUCACACACCGAGGGAGAGGACAGAGACAGGUCAAACUUCUUCGAGGAGAACAUUUGCUCAAUGGGGAGAAGCGAGAGAAGCGCGCAGCUCAGAGUGAACUGAGGAGGAAGAGGAGCAGCUGGGGAGGUGUCAGCUGAAGUAGACAGGAAAGAAACAAGACGAGAGAGAGAGAGAGAUCUGAAGUGAACACUGACUGUUAAAGACUUUUUCUGUGGGAAUAAAGAAAACAAGAUUGUUUAAAGGGAUAGUUCAAAUCAUUUAAAGAAGGGGUCUUUGGAAAGGUAAUAAACAAUAUCUUACUUGUAGAUAGCUCUUUGAAUGCACAAAUUUAACUGUUGUCUUAAUACAUUUCAAUUCAAAUCCAAAAAUACUUUAUUGAUCCCAGAGGGACAUUAGGUAAAUCUAAUAUUUAAAACUUCCAAGCAGUUCAUACAAAUAUUGUUUCAUAAACCUGUAUGUUUUUGGAUUACAUUGUUAUUUGGGAUGAUUUUCCCCCACAAAUGACCCCAGCUGCAUGGUGAACUGAUGGUGAAGUAAAGGUUUAUUUGUAGACUGAAGUUGUUUGGUCUUGGCCCUUCGCUGACUAUCCAUGAGCUCAUUGGUUUAAUCAGAAUUAAACUUUUUUUUUUAAA
This is a long non-coding RNA of Austrofundulus limnaeus, 989 nucleotides long. RefSeq lists it as uncharacterized. The transcript has 3 exons. The record is from RefSeq and is a predicted model, not a curated record. NCBI's taxonomy places the organism in Eukaryota, Metazoa, Chordata, Actinopteri, Cyprinodontiformes, Rivulidae.